RNAcentral lists this ribosomal RNA (426 nucleotides) under Salmonella enterica. RNAcentral describes it as "partial 23S ribosomal RNA". It matches the Rfam family "Bacterial large subunit ribosomal RNA", at positions 95 to 561 of the family's 2925-position model. The record is from RNAcentral. Lineage: Bacteria; Pseudomonadati; Pseudomonadota; Gammaproteobacteria; Enterobacterales; Enterobacteriaceae.
CCGUUAUAACCGGCGAUACCCGAAUGGGGAAACCCAGUGUGACUCGUCACACUAUCAUUAACUGAAUCCAUAGGUUAAUGAGGCGAACCGGGGGAACUGAAACAUCUAAGUACCCCGAGGAAAAGAAAUCAACCGAGAUUCCCCCAGUAGCGGCGAGCGAACGGGGAGGAGCCCAGAGCCUGAAUCAGCAUGUGUGUUAGUGGAAGCGUCUGGAAAGGCGCGCGAUACAGGGUGACAGCCCCGUACACAAAAGCGCAUGUGCUGUGAGCUCGAUGAGUAGGGCGGGACACGUGGUAUCCUGUCUGAAUAUGGGGGGACCAUCCUCCAAGGCUAAAUACUCCUGACUGACCGAUAGUGAACCAGUACCGUGAGGGAAAGGCGAAAAGAACCCCGGCGAGGGGAGUGAAAAAGAACCUGAAACCGUGU